GGAAAGACCCCGUGCACCUUUACUGCAGCUUCAGAGUGGUAUUAGGAAAGAGUUGUGUAGCAUAGGUGGGAGGCUUUGAAGCGACGGCGCCAGCUGUCGUGGAGCCAUAGGUGAAAUACCACCCUGCUGUUUUCUGAUAUCUAACCUCGCACCGUUAUCCGGUGUAGGGACCCUCUGUGGCGGGUAGUUUGACUGGGGCGGUCGC
Molecule: ribosomal RNA, 205 nt
Filed under: Dinophysis acuminata
Lineage: Eukaryota; Dinophyceae; Dinophysales; Dinophysaceae
Description: partial Bacterial large subunit ribosomal RNA
Rfam family: Bacterial large subunit ribosomal RNA
Source: RNAcentral